ACAGGGAGGGCAGCUGUCUCCUCAGCAGGGACCGUAUCAGCACCUUGACCCUGCACUUCCAGCCUCCAGAACUUGCUUGGAGGAACCACUGUCUGUGGUCCAAGCCGCCCAGCGAACGGCCCGUUGUUAAGGAGCCGGUAGUGUAUCCACGUGCUUCCGUGAAAAGGCACAAAGGCGUCCGGUGAAGCCGCCCACACCGCCGGCCCAGCCAACCAUGUCCCUGGGCAGAGGGAACCUUUGAACAAGACCCGCAACGAGACAGCUGGUGAGAAGAGGGCUCUGGGCAAAAGGACGAGCCUGUGCAAAGGCCCUGGGAGGGAAAGAGGCUCAAGGGGAGGCGGAGCGGCUGGACGGGGACAGAGCCCCACGGGGGCUUUAGAGGCAGACUGGGGUCCGACGCCAGCUCCAUCAGCCACUGGGGCAGAAGACCCCUCCCCCCCGCUUCCCCCCCUUCUCUCCCCCCCUCCCCCGCGCCUCCGUGUCCGCAUCUGUAAAGCAAGGGCAGUAAUUGCACCUGCCUCUGGGGUGGUAAGUGUGUUGGCCUCUGUAAAGCCUCUGGGACAGUGCCUGGCACGGCCAGCCUCCCGCUCCAGGCCCCCCCGCCCCCACAGGUCAACCCCAGCAGGUGCGGGGACAGGGCUGCUGUCACCGACGGAAGGGACCGGUCUGGGAAGAGGAGAGCCCCAGCGGACUCUUCCAUUGGCCACAGCUGGGCCACACCCACCCCCAGGACCAACCACAGGCCAGGGGGCGUGUGAGGUAGACACGCCCUUGGGCCCCAGGACGGUGACGCUAGACCGAACAGCUCCGCCGGAGGCAGAGCGCCCAGCCCCACGCCCAGCUCCGGUGACAUUCUCGCCGCAGACUUUAAAUGGAGGGAGCGAGUGGAUUGACCAUAUUUUGGCACAAGCUCCUUAAUUUACUGCAGCCCUGAGGAGGCUGGACACCUCCCCCCAACACACACACACAGAACGGAGCUGCCGCCAGGAAGGAGGAGUGGGGGGUGGUUGUGAGGGGGCCGUGGGCGCAGCUAGACACGACUAUAGAUGCCACAGGGCUGGAGGCAGGUUGGGGAGGGCAGGGUCGCUUUUGGUAAAAAUUGGUGUAUUGUCGAUUUACAAUGCUGUUAGUUUCAGGUGUACAGCAGAGUGACUCCGUUGUAAGAAUACAGAGCUAUUCUUCUUCCUCGUCUUCUUUUUUUUUUUUUUUUUUGUCUUUUUAGGGUCGCAUUCGCAGCAUAUGGAAGUUCCUGGGCCAGGGGUCAAAUGGGAGCUGCAGCUGCUGGCCUGCACCACAGCCAAGGCAAUGCCAGAUCCGAGCCACAUCCUUGACCUCCUCCGCAGCUCACGGCACCUCACCCACUAAGCGAGGCCGGGGAUCCAACUGCCUUCUCAGGGAUACCACAACGGGAACUUAGAGCUGUUAUUUCCAGGGUCUUUCCCCUUAUAAGUUAUUACAAAAUAUUGAGUGUAUCUCCCAAGUGGCAUUUAAAGAUCACUCCGGCAGCUGGUGAAGACUGGAUGAAGGGGCCAUGAGUGGGGCAAGAGGCCUGCUGGAAACCCCUGCCUUGUCUCGGGGAGAACAUGCUGGCCUGGACCAAGGUGUUAAGGCAGGGGUGGAGACCACUGGACAGACCCACCAUGCGGGCCUGGAGGUGGGGCCCAUGGGCUGGCCCCUGGAUGCGGGGGGCAGGUGAUGGUACUGCCCUGGGGACCAGGAAGGGGGCCUGGCCCUGAGGCCUUUCAGGCGGGUCCAUGGAGCCUGGACUACCUGCUCAGCUCCUUCUGCCCUGCUCCAUCCAGCUGUCACCAAGACCCUGACCAGGCCACCUCCCCCUCCCCCAGCAGGCAGCCUCACGCUGCUGAUGGGCCAGGCCCAUCCUGGUCACCUUGCUUCCCAGCCAGAAAGCCUCCACAGCCUGGGCGAGGGAGUCCAAGCUAAUUCAGGGCCUCUCCCACCUCUCCUGGUUGUCAGUGUGAGGGGAACUUUGGGGACAAGGGGACGCUCCCUGCAAUGGACUGUGUGACAGGAGUUGGGGCCCUGCCUCCCCGCCAGCGCUUCCAGACAAUCCACACGACUGGAGGUGAGUUUGUGUGGGGGCAGCACAGGUCUGGCCUCUCAGGGCCCAGGGGUCAGAGCUGAGGCGAGGGCACCAAAUGGAGCAGGUGUGUCCCCUGGGUCGCUUUGCCCUCACAAAACUCCAAGAACAGCCGGGGCCCCCAGCUGCAGGGACGGGUCACAGGGGGGCUGUUCCACUCUUUCGAGAGCUUUGAGGUCCCUUAAAACCCCCCAACACCCCCUAAGGUCCCAAAGAUUUCCUAAAUUUGCCCAAGACCCACCAGGCCCCCCAAGAUUCCUCAAGAUCCUCAAGACAUCAGAAGCCCCCCAAAGUUCCUCUAGUCUCCUUAGGGCCCCACAAGGCCCCAAAGAUUCCCCCAAGAUUCCUCAAGGUCCCCCAUGACCACCCACAUCUUCUAACCACCCCCAGGGUCCCCGAGGUCUACCAGCUCCCCCAGGCCCCCUGAAGACUCUUAGUCCCUCCCAGGUCCCCAAGACUCCAGGCCCCAGGGCCUCUCUGCAUCCUCUACCCUGCAGGAGCCCCCUCCCCACCCACUCUUUGCCUGCGAUGCCCAGUGGGCAAGGGGGUGAAGCCAAUUGGUCUGCUCCAUGCUUCCUGCUGUCAGCUGUUGGUCCCUGGCCAGCCUAUGGAGUGCCACCUCUGGGUCACAUGACUGCCCAGGCAGUAUCACAUGGUAUCAGACAUGGCAGCCCACAGCUUUGCCAUCAGCAAGCAUGGUGGUCAGGGAGUUGCCCGCUACCCUGGGCACCUUGGGCACUGCCCCUGCUCAGGAGGAAAACCAGCUGGUGCAGCGCAGAGCCCUGAGCAGGACUCCAGGCCCUCCUGGAGCUGCACCCUUCAGCCCACCCUACCCAUCGUGGGGGGGUGGGGAUCCAGCAGCCCCACGCCACAGCCCCUCCUUGGAGUCGGAGGUCUUGCUUAGCUCCACCAGUGCCAGGACACAGCCCGAGCCCGCUCCACCCCCUCCCUGGUCUGGUGGCGCAGGACCACACCCAACCGGCCUCUAUCCAGCACUUUCCCUGCACACAAAGGCUGAACCAUCAACCCACACGCCCUGAACACACCCACAAACCACAAACUCACCUCCCCUUUGCCCACAGGAUGUCCACAGGCAAAAUUGUCGCCAAGAGAAGGAAGGAAGAGCCCCGACCGGCUCUGCCUCUGUGGGGAAAGAGCCUGUUUGCAGCCUCCAAGGAAGCCUGCUGAAUAGGUGAGCAACCCUUGAGUCCCAAGCCCCUGGGGCUCCCGUUUUAAGGAAGGAAAAGCCAGACCAGGAGACAGGAGGGUUGUUUGGCCACUGGCUGUGAGGCCUCCAUCUAGGCCCUUUGCCUCUCUGCCCCUCAGUGACCUCACUGCACACCUGGAGCAAUGACCUGUGGCGGUCCUGGGGCUAAGAGCACAGACUCUGGAGAGGGACUGCCUGGGUUUGAGUCCUGGCUCUGCUCCCUACAGGCUGUGUGACUCUGGACAAGCUUCUGAGCUUCUCUGUGCCUGAGUUUUCAAACCUUAACGGGGGUGGGGGGGGAUCAAACAGAAGAUACCACCAAGGGUCAUUGGGAGGAGUCGGUGAGUGAGCAUUUAUUUCUUUUUUCUGUUUUUGUAUAAAGUGUUUAAAACAGUGUCUGGCACACAGUAAGUGCAGUGUAACGGGGUGCUCAAAAUUUCACCCGAGUGUUCAUUAUUCAUUUAGCAAACAUCUGCCCAUCAGCUGUACUUAUCAGGUCCUGGCUGAGCCUUGAGUUGGCAGAGGUGAACCGAAGGAAACUACAACAGACAUACAAGUCACCGCCUCCCACGACAGUCUGGGACUGCCAUUCUGUAAGGGCUCCGGGGUUCAAAGAGACCUGAGAGGCCGGAUGGAGCCCUUCUGCUGGGGUUGCUCAGGGGAGGCUUCUCGGAGGAGAGAGCAUUUAAGCUGGGCGCGGAGGCCUGGGCUGGCAGUGGCAGGGCUCAGCCCACUGAUUGGCUGAUGGAUCUGCAAAAGUUGGAACAUCCAUGGGUGCUAAGUCUGCUGGGACCAAGGAUCUGAAAUGACUUCAUUGCCGAGCUGAGCGUGGACCCUGAAACCUACUUGGUUUGGUAACCUGCACGUUGUACCCAGCUGACAUUGCCCCCACCGGAUAUCCAUGGAACUGGCCAAGCUGGACACUGGGGAGGGACAGGUGUGGGCCGAUGGCCUCUGGACACUGCUUCUCCCACACUUGGGCUGAGUCCUAUGCUGUGAACCCAGACACCAAGAUGACAAGACCAACAGGGCAAGACCUCCGGGGGCCUGGCCUGGCCCCCCUCAUGCAGUGCCUCUAACAUGUUAUCCUCUCUUCAGGCCUCCAGCCCUCGCCAAGGCCCAAGGCUGUGCUAAGGCUCUGUUGAGAGCCAACCUGGGGGCCCAGGGCCUGCCUGGGCAGAGAUUGCGCCCAGGAGGCGGUGAGCUGUGCUGACUCCCAGGAAGACAGCCAACACCUGCACCAGCCUGCCCAGGCACACCCCUCUGCCCCAGCCAACUAUGACACAGCUGUCAAGGCCUAGCCCAGCUGUCAUUUCCUCUGGGCUGGGGCCAGGGUUAUCAGUAGGGUCUCCAGCCUUGGUGCUUCUGUGACAUGGAUGGGGUGAGGAAUUAAACACACAGGAAAACCAAUUCAGACAAUCAAG
Molecule: long non-coding RNA, 4729 nt
Filed under: Sus scrofa (pig)
Lineage: Eukaryota; Metazoa; Chordata; Mammalia; Artiodactyla; Suidae
Description: lncRNA (ENSSSCG00000060781.1)
Source: RNAcentral